GAUGAACGCUGGCGGCGUGCCUAAUACAUGCAAGUAGAACGCUGAAGCUUGGUGCUUGCACCGAGCGGAUGAGUUGCGAACGGGUGAGUAACGCGUAGGUAACCUGCCUCUUAGCGGGGGAUAACUAUUGGAAACGAUAGCUAAUACCGCAUAAAAGACGAUAUCGCAUGAUAUUGAUUUGAAAGGUGCAAAUGCAUCACUAAGAGAUGGACCUGCGUUGUAUUAGCUAGUUGGUGAGGUAACGGCUCACCAAGGCAACGAUACAUAGCCGACCUGAGAGGGUGAUCGACCACACUGGGACUGAGACACGGCCCAGACUCCUACGGGAGGCAGCAGUAGGGAAUCUUCGGCAAUGGGGGCAACCCUGACCGAGCAACGCCGCGUGAGUGAAGAAGGUUUUCGGAUCGUAAAGCUCUGUUGUAAGAGAAGAACGAGUGUGAGAGUGGAAAGUUCACACUGUGACGGUAACUUACCAGAAAGGGACGGCUA
This 489-nucleotide ribosomal RNA is filed under the name Streptococcus parasanguinis. RNAcentral's name for it is "bacterial SSU rRNA". It matches the Rfam family "Bacterial small subunit ribosomal RNA", at positions 28 to 499 of the family's 1533-position model. Lineage: Bacteria; Bacillati; Bacillota; Bacilli; Lactobacillales; Streptococcaceae. The record is from RNAcentral.